UACGGAGGAUGCGAGCGUUAUCCGGAUUUAUUGGGUUUAAAGGGUGCGUAGGCGGGCUUUUAAGUCAGCAGUAAAAAUUCGGGGCUCAACCCCGUCCGGCCGUUGAAACUGGGGGCCUUGAGUGGGCGAGAAGAAGGCGGAAUGCGUGGUGUAGCGGUGAAAUGCAUAGAUAUCACGCGGAACCCCGAUUGCGAAGGCAGCCUUCCGGCGCCCUACUGACGCUGAGGCACGAAAGUGCGGGGAUCGAACAGG
Molecule: ribosomal RNA, 252 nt
Filed under: uncultured bacterium
Lineage: Bacteria
Description: partial 16S ribosomal RNA
Rfam family: Bacterial small subunit ribosomal RNA
Source: RNAcentral